UUAGUGAUGCAGGAAGUUGAGGCAGGAGGUUCAUAAGUUCCAGGCCAUCCUGGGCAAAUUUAGUGAGACCCUGCUUCAAAAGAGGGCUUGGGAGGGCUUGAGUUGUGGCUCAGCGGUAAAGUGCUCACUUAGCACAUGCAAGGCCCUGGAUUUGAUCCUCAGCACCACAUAUAAAUAAAUAAAAUAAAGGUAUUGUGUCCAACUACAACUAAAAAAUAUAUAUUUUUUAAAGGGCUGGGGAUGUAACUCAGUGGUGGAUCUCUCUGGGUUAAAUCCCUAGUACCACCACUACCAAAAGUAUUUGCUCUUCUUAUCAGAAAUUAAUACACAAGGGGGAAAAAUGAAUACAAAGUGGUCACUGCUAAGUACUAUUGGAAAUAACUGUAAAUUUGAAAGUUGAAGACGAUUAAUCUUGUCACUAUGCAGGUCUAGAUUCUGAUGCUCCUUGCUGCAGUAAUAUGCCUAGUGAUAUCUGGAAUAUGAUUUGGGGCCUAAACAGCCUCAAACUCUGUGAAGAUGAGUUCCAGACAGAAGUUGGAGACAAGUUCUUCUGUUUCUGGGAGAAGAUUAUUAGAAGGUGCCCUGCCUAAAAACUUGCAGGGCAGCACAGCAUCACCUCUUAAGGCAAUGAAAGAAGAGGCAGUGGUGGAAGGCAUUGCCUUGAACUGGCAGUGGGCAUGUACAGAGCAAGAAGUUGAGCAUCUGCCUGCAGAGCAAGCAGGCCAGGCCCCCAGCCACUUGCCCACCUCAUUAAGAAACUGGUCUCUGCACAACAGCCCCAUCAGCUCUUCACCUCAGUAAGCCCAUCUCCACUGCAACUGCUUCAUAGUGAUUUCCAGAAGAAUUCUUCACCAUAUUCUUGGCCCUAACUCUAGUUUAUUGUCAUGCCCAAGUGGGAUGGCUCUCUUACUGCAAAUUCACCCAUAGUCCUCUGGGGAAAAAAUGAAAUGUCUUAUUCAAUAGUACCAUGGUUUUAUGUUUAUUAUUUGUGUGUGUGUUCCUAGGAAUUACACCCAGGGACUUUGGAAUACUAAACACAGUGCUGUAACAUUGAGCUACAGCCCAAGGUUUUUAAGGACUUUUAUUA
Molecule: long non-coding RNA, 1087 nt
Filed under: Marmota monax (woodchuck)
Lineage: Eukaryota; Metazoa; Chordata; Mammalia; Rodentia; Sciuridae
Source: RNAcentral